RNAcentral lists this signal recognition particle RNA (312 nucleotides) under Neogale vison (American mink). Its description in RNAcentral is "Neovison vison (American mink) Metazoan signal recognition particle RNA (ENSNVIG00000002219.1)". It matches the Rfam family "Metazoan signal recognition particle RNA". Rfam says of the family: The signal recognition particle (SRP) is a universally conserved ribonucleoprotein. It is involved in the co-translational targeting of proteins to membranes. Lineage: Eukaryota; Metazoa; Chordata; Mammalia; Carnivora; Mustelidae. The record is from RNAcentral.
GCCGGGCGCGGUGUCGCGCGCCUGUAGUCCCAGCUACUCGGGAGGCUGAGGCAGGAGGAUCGCUUGAGCCCAGGAGUUCUGGGCUGUAGUGCGCUAUGCCGAUCGGGUGUCGGCACUAAGUUCGGCAUCAAUAUGGUGACCUCCCGGGAGCGGGGGACCACCAGGUUGCCUAAGGAGGGGUGAACUGGCCCAGGUCGGAAACGGAGCAGGUCAAAACUCCCGUGCUGAUCAGAAAUACAUUUUUGUACACAAUAUGUAAAAUCAUUUUCUGCACAGUUGUAUGAGAACAAGAAUGUAUGUAAAUGUGUCUAU